Molecule: ribosomal RNA, 253 nt
Filed under: uncultured bacterium
Lineage: Bacteria
Also listed under: 1 other name
Description: partial 16S ribosomal RNA
Rfam family: Bacterial small subunit ribosomal RNA
Source: RNAcentral
UACGAAGGGGGCUAGCGUUGUUCGGAUUUACUGGGCGUAAAGCGCACGUAGGCGGAUCUUUAAGUCAGAGGUGAAAUCCCGGAGCUCAACUUCGGAACUGCCUUUGAUACUGGGGAUCUCGAGUUCGGGAGAGGUGAGUGGAACUGCGAGUGUAGAGGUGAAAUUCGUAGAUAUUCGCAAGAACACCAGUGGCGAAGGCGGCUCACUGGCCCGAUACUGACGCUGAGGUGCGAAAGCGUGGGGAGCAAACAGG